RNAcentral lists this unclassified non-coding RNA (3176 nucleotides) under Leishmania donovani. Its description in RNAcentral is "gene:LdHU3.29.2980(CDS-product:hypothetical_prote in_conserved)". Lineage: Eukaryota; Euglenozoa; Kinetoplastea; Trypanosomatida; Trypanosomatidae. The record is from RNAcentral.
CACCACCAGGCCUUCUCCACAUAUAGAUGUCCAUCACGCACCACUCUCCCUCCUCGCUUCGUUUCUGAAGUUGCCUUGGCGGCGUGUUGCGUGUUCGCUCAAGAGCGCAUCCUUCGCGCACACAAAACAGUCAACGAGAGGCCCGCACAUAUAGAAACCGAUAGGCAUGCACAAGUAUACGCUGGAGGCCCCAUCGCACGUGGUCAGCAGUGCCAUUACUCCUCAUUUAGCGGUCGUUGCGGCUAGCGCACCUUUUCGACUCCACCGCGACAGAUGUCGAGGGCACCGUCGAAGAUGGGAGGGAGGGGGGCGGCUCUGGGCUCACUUGGUAGUGUUUGAUCUUGCGCUCCUCAACGGGGAGCCGCUGCUGCAGGUUGCCCUGACGCAUCGUCGGCGGCGGCAGCGGCGGUAGGUGCUGAUCGCGCAGUUUACCCACCUCAAGGUUAUCACCGCCGAAGCGGUUGGCAUCACGGCGGCGAUCAUGGCCGAGCUGGAGAAGGCCGUGGAGGCGAAGCGUGAGGACGUUCUUGUGCAAACGGCACAUAUCCCGUGCGCGGGCCAGCCGAGCGCCAGCUUGCAUGGAUGAAACCGAAGCCGGGCCACCUCCCCGCUUUGGCGGGCUCGCUCGACUUGGUGGUCAUAGGCGGCCACGAUUGCGCGACGUUUGGCCGCUUGAACUUGCACGACUUUGUUGCUGACGAGUCCACUGCGUGGGAGAGCCGACGACGAUAGGGACGUGGAACGGGCUGUCUCCCAAGACGUAUGCAGGGUUGAGACCGAGCACGUGAGGAAGGGCCUCGCUGCUCUGCAAGCCGCCCCCGACCUGCGUUGGGAGCGCAUGCUCACUAAGCAGACCGUCUCACCCUGGCUGGGCGAGUGGCUGCCGACAGAGACGGAGCUAGCGCCCGACGUGUACGUGCACCCCCGGCAUUUGGUGGUGGCCGAAGUUUUUGAGUACGCCUUCACGGAUUCAUUGCGUUAUUGCACUGGCCUCUCCCUCCGCUUUCUGCUGAUGCUCUGCCUGCGGCGAACAAAAGAGUCAUAGAAACCACCUACGUGUCGCACCCGGUUGCCAUACUGGAGGCCUUUCAGCACAUGCCGCACAGGUGUCUCGCGGAGACGCGAGACGAGCUUCUUGCGGUAGAGUUUAUGAAGCGUAAACGCCUCCGUGAAAUAUACACGCCGACAGCAGCAUCAGUAGCGACAAGCCCGGCCUCCGCGCCGGCAUCGGGACAGACACCGUCAACUAUCGGCGAUGGCGAGAGCUCGAUGUCUGGGCCUGCCGCGAUGGCCUUGCUCGUCGCCGCCGCGCAGGUGUAGUCGCAGUCGUUUGCGGCUGGGUUCUCCGGUCCCCUGAGGAGGAUGCGAGGCGUUCGGCCAGAGGAGGUGGUGAGCUGCUGGCUCAGCGGCUUCGAGUUUGGCGCUUACUACGUCGCCUUUGGUAGCGUCGAGGCAUGGCGGCGUUCGGUGACGGGGUGCAGCAGAGGUAAGUGACGGCGACCGUAGCGCGGCUGCGAUGUCGUUGCUGAGCGACCGGGCAGUCGUGGAGCACCAGCUGCAGCGGCAAGGAGGCGAAGUCCUGGCGAACCCGACUCGUAUCAGGCCGCUGCUUAUCUCCAACAGCGUUAGCGAAACGAAGUUGGUCAACCGGGUUCAGCUCUGUGAGAGCAAGACGGCUUAUGUGAGUGCCAAGUGUGCAUCUGCGGGCGUAGCACACUCUCAGUGGCUGGUGGACUGCGUAGAGGCAGUCGCGGUGCUGCUGUGGACGCCGAGGCACAUGCUCUACGGCAGCCGCUCCUGCAAGACGAAGAUGCCUGGCACGACCCUCUGCAUGGCGAUGAGCCAACGCCGCUCCCUCCUCAUUGUCGCGCGCGUCCACCAGAGGGAGGCACAAGGGCGUGCACCUUCAGAUGCUGAGAGUAAUCCAGUGGUCGUCCUUGCGCGUCGAGUUCACGCUUGCCGGCACGAACUUGGGCUGGACGGUGUCUCUGGGCGGCCAGCGGUAUCGAAGAUGUUCGCCGCUAUUGCCUUGGCCAAGGGCAGCGCACAAGCUCUCCUGAGUGUCAGUCACGAACGGCGGCUCAUGUGUCCGCCUCGCCCACCUCACGUGCCGCAUCUCUGCAAGAAGCAGCGGCGGCGUUUCUCAGCGCCAGUCCAUGCUCCCCCGUGCUGCGGGCAGCGAAGACGGUGCUGCAGGUGACUGCCACGUGUGCGAGCGCGGAGGCCCCACCUCCAUGGGUGAAGCGCCAGCCUGCGGUGGCGGAGAUGCCGUGCCGCCACGUGCCGUGCUUUGCCUCACAGACGGUGCCCUCGUAGGACAGACAGGUGGCAUCUAACACCUGUGCACCGACGACAGAGUCACGUGGACGGCAGAGCAAGUGGUGCAAGCAUGAUCGUGCACAGCGGAGUGCGAUGCGUGCGUGGCAAUAGGCGUGGCAGAUGCAACGAGCGCUGUCGACAACAGUGGGGCGGUGGUGGUCAGCCGCGCACACGCGCUAACUGCAACGCGUUGAUGCGCAAGCGACGCAUGCUGGUAGCAUGGGGGGUCAAGCGAAAGGGGCGGAAGUGUUGAAGGUCACCAUGUCGAGCCACCCACCUGCGUACCUCCAUCCCACCCCCUCCUUUCAGUGUGCACACAUCACCGCCCUCGCGUUGCGCCGACGGAUGGCGUGAGCGAAUACGGAAAGAGAAGAGGUCAUACUGCUCACAGAAAGAACGUGCCAAGACGGGGUCUGCUCAACGUUCACCGAGCAAGUGAUCCGGGGCGUGAUCAGCGAAACGAGGCACCGUCGAGGUAUGCCGCUGACGUGUAAGAGGGGAAGUGGGCGCGCCCAGAGCGAGAGAGAGAGAGAGAGAGAAGGCCGAACGCGCACGCGCAGGGCGCCGUGGCCGCUCAUUCGCCGCGCCCUCCUCUUCGCUUUGCCGUUGCGACACUGUUCUUCAAUUCCUUUUUGCUUCACUUUCUCUCUCGCACGCACACACACCACCCUUCCCCAUCAUUCUCUGGUCGACCUAUCACGCCGGCGUGGCCGCUGCCCCUCGCUGCGUUCGCCACGACGUCUGUCUCGCAUGCGCACCUCACUGCAGCCGUCACAGUAUCAAAACUCGCUUUAACUGCACCUCUUCUCUUCCGUUUUCUUCGGCGUCUUGUGUUUCCCAUCCACACUCCACUCUAG